UGGGGAAUUUUGCACAAUGGGGGAAACCCUGAUGCAGCGACGCCGCGUGAUUUAGAAGGCCUUCGGGUUGUAAAAAUCUUUUCUAUGGGAAGAAAAUGACAGUACCAUAGGAAUAAGGACCGGCUAAUUACGUGCCAGCAGCCGCGGUAAUACGUAAGGUCCGAGCGUUGUCCGGAAUCAUUGGGCGUAAAGGGUACGUAGGCGGGUAAGCAAGUUAGAAGUGAAAUCCUAUAGCUCAACUAUAGUAAGCUUUUAAAACUGCUCAUCUUGGGGUAUGGAAGGGAAAGUAGAAUUCCUAGUGUAGCGGUGAAAUGCGCAGAUAUUAGGAGGAAUACCGGUGGCGAAGGCGACUUUCUGGCCAUAACCUGACGCUGAGGUACGAAAGCGUGGGUAGCAAACAGG
This 402-nucleotide ribosomal RNA is filed under the name bacterium. Its description in RNAcentral is "partial 16S ribosomal RNA". It matches the Rfam family "Bacterial small subunit ribosomal RNA", at positions 355 to 776 of the family's 1533-position model. The record is from RNAcentral.